AGCGAACGCUGGCGGCAGGCCUAACACAUGCAAGUCGAACGAACCUUUCGGGGUUAGUGGCGGACGGGUGAGUAACACGUGGGAACGUGCCUUUAGGUUCGGAAUAACUCAGGGAAACUUGUGCUAAUACCGAAUGUGCCCUGCGGGGGAAAGAUUUAUCGCCUUUAGAGCGGCCCGCGUCUGAUUAGCUAGUUGGUUGAGGUAAUGGCUCACCAAGGCGACGAUCAGUAGCUGGUCUGAGAGGAUGAUCAGCAACAUUGGUACUGAGACACGGCCCAAGCUCCUACGGGAGGCAGCAGUGGGGAAUCUUGCGCAAUGCGCGAAAGCCUGACGCAGCCAUGCCGCGUGAAUGAUGAAGGUCUUAGGAUUGUAACAUUCUUUCACCGGGGACGAUAAUGACGGUACCCGGAGAAGAAGCCACGGCUAACUUCGUG
This 434-nucleotide ribosomal RNA is filed under the name uncultured bacterium. RNAcentral's name for it is "partial 16S ribosomal RNA". It matches the Rfam family "Bacterial small subunit ribosomal RNA", at positions 29 to 507 of the family's 1533-position model. The record is from RNAcentral.